Salmo trutta (river trout) is the source of this 5633-nucleotide long non-coding RNA. The record is from Ensembl. Lineage: Eukaryota; Metazoa; Chordata; Actinopteri; Salmoniformes; Salmonidae.
CUUCAUUGUUGGUUAAGGGCUUGUGAGUAUGCAUUUCAUGGUAAGGUCUACACUUGUUGUAUUCGGCGUAUGUGACGAAUACAAUUUGAUUUGUUUAUGUCCUUUUCCAAUUUGACCAACCACUGACAAAACAUAAGCAACUGAAGGGUCUGACACAGCGACAUAAAAAAAGAAAGAAAGACAUGGAAACUUCAGUUCCACAGGCCAGAACUACUCUGCCUCCUCCCUCCCUAUCGGAUUAUUUCGCUCCACCUACAACUCAGAGAUGUCAAAGGGCCCAGGAUUUCUUCCCUCCACCUCCAGUGGAUUCCAUCGUGGUUGAGGAGCCCUUCUCUCGACCAGUGAAGCCCAUUGUGGUUGAGCUGCCCAUCUCUCCACCACCUAAUCCCAUUGUGGUUGAACGGCCCAUCUCUCCACCAGUGAAGCCCAUUGUGGUUGAGCUGCCCAUCUCUUCCCCAGUGGAGCCCAUUGUGGUUGAGCUGCACAUCUCUCCACCAGUGAAACCCAUCAUGGUUGAGCUGCCUAUCUCUCCACCAGUGGAGCCCAUAGCUGUUGAGCUGCCCAUCUCUCCACCAGUGAAGCCUGUUGUGGUUGAGCUGCUGAUCUCUACACCAGUGAAACCCAUCAUGGUUGAGCUGCCCAUCUCUCCACCAGUGAAGCCUGUUGUGGUUGAGCUGCCCAUCUCUCCACCAGUGAAACCCAUCAUGGUUGAGCUGCCCAUCUCUCCACCAGUGAAGCACGUCAUGUUUGAGUUGUCGAUUGCUCCAGUGGAAACUGAGUCGCUUCAGAGUUUUGAGGGUCUGACACAGCGACAUAAAAAAAGAAAGAAAGACAUGGAAACUUCAGUUCCACAGGCCAGAACUACCCUGACUCCUCCCUCCCUAUCGGAUUAUUUCGCUCCACCUACAACUCAGAGAUUUCAAAGGGCCCAGGAUUUCUUCCCUCCACCUCCAGUGGAGCCCAUCGUGGUUGAGGAGCCCAACUCUACACAAGUGAAGCCCAUUGUGGUUGAGCUGCCCAUCUCUCCUCCAGUUGGGCCCAUUGUGGUUGAGGUGCCCAUCUCUCCACCAGUGAAACAAAUCAUGGUUGAUCUGCCCAUCUCUCCACCAGUGAAGCCCAUCGUGAUGGAGCUGCCCAACUCUACACCAGUGAAACCCAUCAAGGUUGAUCUGCCCAUCUCUCCACCAGUGAAACCCAUCAUGGUUGAGCUGCCCUUCUCUCCACCAGUGAAACACAUCAUGGUUGAGCUGCCCUUCUCUCCACCAGUGGAGCCCAUCGCUGUUGAGUUGCCCAUCUCUCCACCAGUGAAGCCUGUUGUGGUUGAGCUGCCCAUCUCUCCACCAGUGAAACCCAUCAUGGUUGAGCUGCCCAUCUCUCCACCAGUGAAGCACGUCAUGUUUGAGUUGUCGAUUGCUCCAGUGGAAACUGAGUCGCUUCAGAGUUUUGAGGGUCAGACACAGCGACAUAAAAAAAGAAAGAAAGACAUGGAAACUUCAGUUCCACAGACCAGAACUACCCUGACUCCUCCCUCCCUAUCGGAUUAUUUCGCUCCACCUACAACUCAGAGAUGUCAAAGGGCCCAGAAUUUCUUCCCUCCACCUCCAGUGGAGCCCAUCGUGGUUGAGGAGCCCAUCUCUCCACCAGUUAAUCCCAUCGUGAUGGAGCUGCCCAACUCUCCACCAGUGAAGCCCAUUGUGGUUGAGCUGCCCAUCUCUCCACCAGUGGAGCCCAUUGUGGUUGAGCUGCCCAUCUCUCCACCAGUGAAACCCAUCAUGGUUGAGCUGCCCAUCUCUCCACCAGUGAAGCCCAUCGUGGUCGACCAUCCCAUCUCUCCACUAGUGAAGCCCGUAAUGGUUGAGCUGCCAAUCUCUCCACCAGUGAAGCUCACAGUGGUUGAGCUGCCCAUCUUUCCACCAGUAAAGCCUGUUGUGGUUGAGCUGCCCAUCUCUCCACCAGUGAAACCCAUCGUGAUGGAGCUGCCCAUCUCUCCACCUGUGAAACCCAUCAUGGUUGAGCUGCCCAUCUCUCCACCAGUGAAACCCAUAAUGGUGUGGUUGCCCACCUCUCCACCAUUGAAACCAGUCGUGGUUGAACGGCCCAUCUCUCCACCAGUGAAACCCAUCAUGGUUGAGCUGCCCAUCUCUCCACCAGUGAAGCACGUCAUGUUUGAGCUGCCGAUUGCUCCAGUGGAAGCUGAGUCACUUCAGAGAUUUGAGGGUCUGACACAGCGACAUAAAAAAAGAAAGAAAGACAUGGAAACUUCAGUUCCACAGACCAGAACUACCCUGACUCCUCCCUCCCUAUCGGAUUAUUUCGCUCCACCUACAACUCAGAGAUGUCAAAGGGCCCAGGAUUUCUUCCCUCCACCUCCAGUGGAGCCCAUCGUGGUUGAGGAGCCCAACUCUACACAAGUGAAGCCCAUUGUGGUUGAGCUGCCCAUCUCUCCUCCAGUUGGGCCCAUUGUGGUUGAGGUGCCCAUCUCUCCACCAGUGAAACAAAUCAUGGUUGAUCUGCCCAUCUCUCCACCAGUGAAGCCCAUCGUGAUGGAGCUGCCCAACUCUACACCAGUGAAACCCAUCAAGGUUGAUCUGCCCAUCUCUCCACCAGUGAAACCCAUCAUGGUUGAGCUGCCCUUCUCUCCACCAGUGAAACACAUCAUGGUUGAGCUGCCCUUCUCUCCACCAGUGGAGCCCAUCGCUGUUGAGUUGCCCAUCUCUCCACCAGUGAAGCCUGUUGUGGUUGAGCUGCCCAUCUCUCCACCAGUGAAACCCAUCAUGGUUGAGCUGCCCAUCUCUCCACCAGUGAAGCACGUCAUGUUUGAGUUGUCGAUUGCUCCAGUGGAAACUGAGUCGCUUCAGAGUUUUGAGGGUCAGACACAGCGACAUAAAAAAAGAAAGAAAGACAUGGAAACUUCAGUUCCACAGACCAGAACUACCCUGACUCCUCCCUCCCUAUCGGAUUAUUUCGCUCCACCUACAACUCAGAGAUGUCAAAGGGCCCAGGAUUUCUUCCCUCCACCUCCAGUGGAGCCCAUCGUGGAUAAGGAGCCCAUCUCUCCACCAGUUAAUCCCAUCGUGAUGGAGCUGCCUAACUCUCCACCAGUGAAGCCCAUUGUGGUUGAGCUGCCCAUCUCUCCACCAGUGAAUCCCAUUUUUGUUGAGCUGCCCAUUUCGCCACCUGUGAAGCCCAUCAUGGUUGAGCUGCCCACCUCUCCACCAGUGAAACCCGUCGUGGUUGAACGGCCCAUGUCUCCACCAGUGAAGCCUAUCUUGGUCGACCAUCCCAUCUCUCCACCAGUGAACCAACAGGAUCAACCUGGUCAAGGGGCCAACUGGGAAAUAGAGGCUGGUUCUUCUCAGAUUGUCGAUGCUCCUGUCCAUCUCCUCUUCCCUGCUUCCUCUGAUCUCCCUCAGCAGAUCCCACAGGAGCAGCCUGGAGUCCUCACAGCAUUCCCUGGUCCUCUUACAAACGUUGGGACUCUUGAGGAGAUGAUUGAGGUUGCAUGGCAGAAGUGUCAGGAGUACCAAUCUAAGUUCUUCAUGUGGUACUUUGUUACCCUUUUGUGCACACAGAGUAGGGCACAGCCCAUCUUUCCUCCAGUGAAACCAAUCGUGGUCGAGCGUCCCAUCUCUCCACCAGUGAAACCCAUCGUGGUCGAGCGUCCCAUCUCUCCACCAGUGGAGCCCAUUGUGGUCGAGAGUCCUAUCUCUCCACCAGUGGAGCCCAUCGUGGUUGAACUCCCCAUCUUUCCACCAGUGAAGCAUGUUGUCGUUGAGCUGCCCAUCUCUCCACCAGUAAAUCCGAUCAUGGUUGAGCUCCCCAUCUUGCCACCAGUGAAACCCAUCAUGGUUGAGCUGCCGAUCGCUCCAGUCGAAGCUGAGUCGCUUCAGAGAUUUGAGGGUCUGACACAGCGACAUAAAAAAAGAAAGAAAGACAUGGAAACUUCAGUUCCACAGACCAGAACUACCCUGCCUCCUCCCUCCCUAUCGGAUUAUUUCGCUCCACCUACAACUCAGAGAUGUCAAAGGGCCCAGAAUUUCUUCCCUCCACCCCCAGUGGAGCCCAUCGUGGUUGAGGAGCCCAUCUCUCCACCAGUUAAUCCCAUCGUGAUGGAGCUGCCCAACUCUCCACCAGUGAAGCCCAUUGUGGUUGAGCUGCCCAUCUCUCCACCAGUGAAACCCAUCAUGGUUGAGCUGCCCAUCUCUCCACCAGUGAAACCCAUCAUGGUUGAGCUGCCCAUCUCUCCACCAGUGAAACCCAUCAUGGUUGAGCUGCCCAUCUCUCCACCAGUGAAGCUCACAGUGGUUGAGCUGCCCAUCUCUCCACCAGUGAAACCCAUCAUGGUUGAUCUGCACAUCUCUUCACCAGUGAAACCCAUAAUGGUUGAGCUCCCCAUCUCUCCACCUGUGAAACCCAUCAUGGUUGAGCUGCCAAUCUCUCCACCAGUGAAACCCAUCAUGGUUGAGCUGCCCAUCUCUCCACCAGUGAAACCCAUCAUGGUUGAGCUGCCCAUCUCUCCACCAGUGAAGCACGUCAUGGUUGAGCUCCCCAUCUCUCCACCAGUGAAACCCAUCAUGGUUGAGCUGCCCAUCUCUCCACCAGUGAAACCCAUCAUGGUUGAGCUGCCCAUCUCUCCACCAGUGAAACCCAUCAUGGUUGAGCUACCGAUCGCUCCAGUGGAAGCUGAGUCGCUUCAGAGAUUUGAGCCAAUGAAGGGUCAGACACAGCGACAUAAAAAAAGAAAGACAGACAUGGAAACUUCAGUUCCACAGACCAGAACUACCCUGACUCCUCCCUCCCUAUCGGAUUAUUUCGCUCCACCUACAACUCAGAGAUUUCAAAGGGCCCAGGAUUUCUUCCCUCCACCUCCAGUGGAGCCCAUCGUGGAUAAGGAGCCCAUCUCUCCAGCAGUGAAUCCCAUCCUGAUGGAGCUGCCCAACUCUCCACCAGUGAAGCCCAUUGUGGUUGAGCUGCCCAUCUCUCCACCAGUGAAUCCCAUUUUUGUUGAGCUGCCCAUUUCUCCACCUGUGAAGCCCAUCAUGGUUGAGCUGCCCACCUCUCCACCAGUGAAACCCGUCGUGGUUGAACGGCCCAUGUCUCCACCAGUGAAGCCUAUCUUGGUCGACCAUCCCAUCUCUCCACCAGUGAACCAACAGGAUCAACCUGGUCAAGGGGCCAACUGGGAAAUAGAGGCUGGUUCUUCUCAGAUUGUCGAUGCUCCUGUCCAUCUCCUCUUCCCUGCGUCCUCUGAUCUCCCUCAGCAGAUCCCACAGGAGCAGCCUGGAGUCCUCACAGCAUUCCCUGGUCCUCUUACAAACCCAUCUUUCCUCCAGUGAAACCAAUCGUGGUCGAGCGUCCCAUCUCUCCACCAGUGAAACCCAUCGUGGUCGAGCGUCCCAUCUCUCCACCAGUGGAGCCCAUCGUGGUUGAACUCCCCAUCUUUCCACCAGUGAAGCAUGUUGUCGUUGAGCUGCCCAUCUCUCCACCAGUGAAGCACGUCAUGUUUGAGCUGCCGAUCGCUCCAGUGGAAGCUGAGUCACUUCAGAGAUUUGAGGUAGGCUACUCACUCCACACUGUCCCUUUGAACUUGUAAAUCAUGGUCCUAGUUUAGCUGCAAUCAGCAAUUCACACAU